RNAcentral lists this long non-coding RNA (670 nucleotides) under Homo sapiens (human). RNAcentral describes it as "non-protein coding LINC01554:14". Lineage: Eukaryota; Metazoa; Chordata; Mammalia; Primates; Hominidae. The record is from RNAcentral.
GUCAGUGUAGAAAGCCCAGGCAUUGUCCCAUAGCUGGCCCUGUGUGUUUGCACUGAUUCCUCAGAAUAAGUUUGCAGAUAGCUUAACUUCCAGAAUUCCUGAGUUUCACUAGUCCCCCUUCUUUAUGAUGAAUUGGAAAAAGGGUAUAUUCUGGGAUAAAGCAAGAGGAAACUGGGUGCAGCAAAGAUCCCUAGACCAUUUUUCCCAGUGGCCCAUUGCUCCUGCUGCUUUUUUCAUACCAGCUGAAUCUCCCUAAACCCCACGUCUGCGGCAAAGUCUUCGUGGUGAAACAGCCAGCUGCCAUGUGUCAGGACACUCAGGCAGCCUGUGGAAAGCUGCACAUGGUGAGGAACAGAGGGCUCCAGUCAAACGACCAAUGCCAACAACCAUGUUCCCAGGUGCUGCUGUUGCUGCCGGGGGUCAGAGGAUACCCUCUGAGAACUGGUGCUCUGACAAACAAUGGGUAAGCAUGGCUGUUGUUAGGCUAUCCUUAUCAGUGUGAGUACAGAUCAGAACAAGGGUGUAGAACAGAUUUCCUUUUGUUCUGAGCUGAAUGCAAACAGCAAUUACCAUACGUUGCACCAAUAGGUGGAAACUGAGUCUGGCCAUGAUGCAUUGCAUCCCACCUCCAGGCAGAAUACAGGAGGAGGGGUGGUUACAAUAGUGGGUG